AACGCUGGCGGCGUGCUUAACACAUGCAAGUCGAACGAUGAUCCCAGCUUGCUGGGGGAUUAGUGGCGAACGGGUGAGUAACACGUGAGUAACCUGCCCUUAACUCUGGGAUAAGCCUGGGAAACUGGGUCUAAUACCGGAUAUGACUCCUCAUCGCAUGGUGGGGGGUGGAAAGCUUUAUUGUGGUUUUGGAUGGACUCGCGGCCUAUCAGCUUGUUGGUGAGGUAAUGGCUCACCAAGGCGACGACGGGUAGCCGGCCUGAGAGGGUGACCGGCCACACUGGGACUGAGACACGGCCCAGACUCCUACGGGAGGCAGCAGUGGGGAAUAUUGCACAAUGGGCGAAAGCCUGAUGCAGCGACGCCGCGUGAGGGAUGACGGCCUUCGGGUUGUAAACCUCUUUCAGUAGGGAAGAAGCGAAAGUGACGGUACCUGCAGAAGAAGCGCCGGCUAACUACGUGCCAGCAGCCGCGGUAAUACGUAGGGCGCAAGCGUUAUCCGGAAUUAUUGGGCGUAAAGAGCUCGUAGGCGGUUUGUCCCGUCUGCCGUGAAAGUCCGGGG
Molecule: ribosomal RNA, 562 nt
Filed under: Arthrobacter sp. HyB_02
Lineage: Bacteria; Bacillati; Actinomycetota; Actinomycetes; Micrococcales; Micrococcaceae
Description: bacterial SSU rRNA
Rfam family: Bacterial small subunit ribosomal RNA
Source: RNAcentral